AUACGGAGGAUGCGAGCGUUAUCCGGAUUUAUUGGGUUUAAAGGGUGCGUAGGCUGUGCGUUAAGUCAGGGGUGAAAUGCCGUCGCUCAACGACGGAGCUGCCCUUGAUACUGGCGUGCUGGAGUACGGAUGCCGUUGGAGGAAUGAGUGGUGUAGCGGUGAAAUGCUUAGAUAUCACUCAGAACACCGAUUGCGAAGGCAUCUGACGAAUCCGUCACUGACGCUGAGGCACGAAAGCGUGGGGAUAGAACAGGAUUAGAUACCCUGGUAGUCCACGCAGUAAACGAUGAUAACUAACCGUCGGCGAUACACAGUCGGUGGCCAAGCGAAAGCGAUAAGUUAUCCACCUGGGGAGUACGUUCGCAAGAAUGAAACUCAAAUGAAUUGACGGGG
This 393-nucleotide ribosomal RNA is filed under the name uncultured bacterium. Its description in RNAcentral is "partial 16S ribosomal RNA". It matches the Rfam family "Bacterial small subunit ribosomal RNA", at positions 523 to 918 of the family's 1533-position model. The record is from RNAcentral.